UACGUAGGGGGCAAGCGUUGUCCGGAUUUAUUGGGCGUAAAGAGCGUGUAGGCGGUCAGGUAGGUCCGUUGUGAAAACUCGAGGCUCAACCUCGAGACGCCGAUGGAAACCAUCUGACUAGAGUCCGGAAGAGGAGAGUGGAAUUCCUGGUGGAGCGGUGAAAUGCGUUGAGAUCCACAGGAACUCCGGUGGCGAAGGCGGCCCGCUGGACCCUUACUGACGCUGAGGCGCGAAAGCCAGGGAGCGAACGGG
RNAcentral lists this ribosomal RNA (252 nucleotides) under uncultured bacterium. Its description in RNAcentral is "partial 16S ribosomal RNA". It matches the Rfam family "Bacterial small subunit ribosomal RNA", at positions 524 to 776 of the family's 1533-position model. The record is from RNAcentral.